GAUGAACGCUGGCGGCGUGCCUAAUACAUGCAAGUCGAGCGAACGGACGAGAAGCUUGCUUCUCUGAUGUUAGCGGCGGACGGGUGAGGAACACGUGGAUAACCGACCUAUAAGACUGGGAUAACUUCGGGAAACCGGAGCUAAUACCGGAUAAGAGUGUGAACCGCAUGGUUCAAAAGUGAAAGACGGUCUUGCUGUCACUUAUAGAUGGAUCCGCGCUGCAUUAGCUAGUUGGUAAGGUAACGGCUUACCAAGGCAACGAUGCAUAGCCGACCUGAGAGGGUGAUCGGCCACACUGGAACUGAGACACGGUCCAGACUCCUACGGGAGGCAGCAGUAGGGAAUAUUCCGCAAUGGGCGAAAGCCUGACGGAGCCACGCCGCGUGAGUGAUGAAGGUCUUCGGAUCGUAAAACUCUGUUAUUAGGGAAGAACAUAUGUGUAAGUAACUGUGCACAUCUUGACGUUACCUAAUCAGAAAGCCACGGCUAACUACGUG
Molecule: ribosomal RNA, 497 nt
Filed under: uncultured bacterium
Lineage: Bacteria
Description: partial 16S ribosomal RNA
Rfam family: Bacterial small subunit ribosomal RNA
Source: RNAcentral